GCUGAUUUGAGCCAAGCCAGAGGGCCGGCUUCCAAGCAAAUGAUACAAACAAUAUAAAUGCGCUGGAACUGGGGUUCUGGGGCCCGGGGCAUACAGGGAUUCUCUACCCUCGCCCACUGAUAAUCCAGCAUGGUUCCUUAUUCUCCGAUAGAUGACUUUUGGGAUGUAACUUUAUGAUUUGAACCAUAGUGGGCUCCUUGAGCUAGAAGGGAUGGAGCGCUGCCGAAUGCUUGGGCAAAGGAUAAGUUCACCUCAAACUUUUUACGUGACUCUGUAUUGAAGCAUGCAAAAACUUUGUGAUCUUACGAAUUGGUUAAACCUUUGUGGUCGUGUGCGUUGAAGUGCAUGUAAAGUGCGGACUACAGGCAUCAGGUGGCAAGACUACGUCAUGGCUGUAAAUCCGAUGACUACGGCUCCUGAUGCCGCGCUUGCUGACCCGACUGUUCUGCGAAAUGGCGCCACUCUUCGGCCGUGUAAUGUCCAGAAGCGCGGAAGGGACCGAGGAGCUUCUGCUACCAACAUGCCAACGACGGGUGCGCCGGAAAUAUCCAGCGAUGAGCCGUCGCCAAAAAGACAAAAGUGUAACGUUCCUGCUACAAAAACUCAAGAAAAGCGACUUAGACUUCUGGCACCCAAGUUGCAACCGAAUGCCGCGUUCUUGAACAUCCUGAACGCCCGACAAGGCAUGCUGCCCCUGAGUAGCUCUGAACCUUUAACAGUAUUAUUGCUUUGCGAACAGGGUCAACCGUCGUGUAACGCAACUAAGGUGUCGCUUCUGAAACCUACCGGAACUGACCGUGAACCUCCAAUUACUAUCAUCACAAGUGAUGAUACUGGCGUAGUGUAUACGAUGGUGACAAGGGUUGAUGAUAAAAAAACUAUUUCUUCAACUAACGUCAUGUCGGCUUCUCUGAAAGAAAGCGUCACCGAGUCUGGAAUAAUCGACAUUCCAACGGCGGGUAUUGGUGUAGAUCAGUGUGUGUCAGCACUGCAUGAGAGACAAGCUUCUGCGUCCUCUGAUUGUGCCAUGUUACCACCCACAAAAAAUCUCACAAGCGAGCCUGCUCUUGUUAGCAGCCUCACCAAAAAAACUGGCAUAACACAUAGCAUAAUGUUUGCAGUUGAAAACAGUGCAUCUGAAAUGUGCACUGCUGGCAGAAUCUCUACGAAAGAAAUAAAAGAAAGGCCCAGUGAGCCACCGAUUGUUGGCAUCCCGCUUCCGAAUUUUCACUUUGAGCAUAACUAUUCGGAAGCUAUUGAGAGACGAGCAUCUGGAGUGUGCACUUCAAGCAGGACUGUGUUGGCUACUGCGGAAGAUGCUGCAAAGGAGCCAACAGUCAUUAGCAGCCCCACGGAGAAAACUGGCAUUGUGCACAGUAUGCUGACAAUGACUGAAGAAGCAUCUGAAUUAUGCACUUCAAGUGUCUCUACGUUCGACUCCACAGAAGACAGUGCCAUUGAGCCUACAAUAAUUGGCAUACCUACUGUGAACAUUGACACAGAGCAUAGCAUGUCAGAAAUGGAUGACAGACAAGCCUAUAGGUUGAGCCAUCCAAGCAACAUCAAGGUGGAACCUCCAGAGUGCAUAGAGUGUGCUAUGAACGUUGGCACAGAGCAUGGCAUGUCAGAAGCUGACGAAGCCACUAGGCCGUGCAGUCCAAGCAAGAUCAAGUUGGAGCCUCCAGAAUAUGUAGAGUGUACUGUGAAUGUUAGCACAGAGCAUUGCAUGUCAGAAACUGAUGAGAGACAACCUAAUACAUUGUGUAGUCCAACCAAGAUCAAGUUAGAACCUCCAGAGUUCGUUGAGUGUGAGCCCUCAUUUAGUGACAGCCAUUAUGAGAAUAACAAUGUAGUGCAUAGCCCACUGACAGCAGUUAAAAACAAGCUCUUUGCUUCGUGCAAAUCCAAAAAUGCCAACUUGUCUUGUAUGGUAGACAGUGGCAGCAAGCAUGCAGAUAUUGGAGUUGCUGCUGAUGCCACUGAUGUGGAAAACAAAACAUCUGCAGUGCUUAUGGAACAAUCCGCUGCGCCACACGCUACAGGCAGCACCAGUUUGUUCCCGGCAAAAGACAUUGCCAGUGAGCCUACUAUUAAUAGUAUCCCAUUGGACAAGGCUUGCUUGUCGUGUUGCAAGCUAACAUUGGUCAAAAAUGAAGUGUUUGAGUCAUGUGCUUCCAGUGGUGAAGCAGUGACCUGUGCGAACGACACUUCUACUGAUCCUGCGGUCGUUGUCGUUCCUAUAGACACUGUUGAUGUACAGCAUAGUGUGUCAAAAGCUGCUGAAAGUCAGGCCUCCACAUCAUGCACUUCAAGCGAACUUACUGUCAUUUGCAUCUGUAAUGAGAAUACUGGCAAAGCAACUAGCACAGUGACAAUAUCCGAGAGCCCAACUUCCUUACCGCAUGCUUCAAGCAACACCACUUCAGAACUUGCGUCACAUAUAGAUGAAUUGGGUAGUGACUCAUCACCGAAAUUGAUGCCAUAUUCAUGUGCACUGCCCAGCUCAACUACGACCUUCAGAGAUAAGAGACGCAGCUCGCGACAUCACGCCAUUAAGGAAGGGCUAGUCCGCAGCAUAUGCUUUAGUGAGAAAACUAAAGACAUUGUGCGUGCUUUGGAACACAAGAUAACAGUGCCCCAAAGGAAGGUAAUGUUUUACCGGGAGAAAGUCAACUCCUUAAAGUCGCAGUUCCAUCGUGUGCAGCAGGUCAUGAAGCAGCCACAGACACUGUCAAAUUUUAGAAAGUUUGUCAUGGCUGUUCCACAUAGUACAGUUGCAGAUGAGGAAACAGGUGCUUCCUGAAAUAUACUCAGAUGUUUUUGUUUGUGUGCAUCUUCCAUAUAAGGCUGUAAAAAGGAACAUAAAUAUUUUAUUUAUUAUUGUUCCACAUGCUCUGCAGUUUUAAGGUUGCAUAUGGGCCAUGUUCGAAGUGUGGUGCAUAUGUACUUUUUUUUUUUUACUUUUUAUUUGCUUUUUACUAGCUACAACAAACCAUCCCCUUGUUCUAUCUUCUAUUUGAAUCGCCGUGCAGUGCAUCUUGAUAUCUACGUAAGUUGCUGGGUACAGCUGUUGUGCAGAGGAUUCAGUGUAGCAGUGUCCCCAAGACAAUAUGUAACUUACAGGUUUUCAAUCUCUGACAUCGCAACCUUAAAUACUGCUCGGUUUAAAGUCGUCAUUAUUAAAAGAAUAAAACUUUAUUUUGUUUUGUAUUGCUUGAAUACCUUUGGAUUUCUUGGUAAUGUAGGCCCUCUUUGCUGACUAGUUUUCUUACUAGAAACAAGAUGGCGCAUCCAUUUCUUGGCUCAAGAGGUGCAGUGGUGGUUAGAUUCCCAGUCACGGCGGUUGUGUUCUGAGAGGGGUGAAAUGCCACGACACUCCUGUAUAUUGAUUUAGUCGCAUGUUAAAGAGCACCAGCUGGCUUAAAUGAAUCCGGAAUCCGGAAUAGCCUAUGUGAUGCUUUGGUAUGUGAAGUUCCAUAAUUGCUGUGAUUUCCUGCCUCAAGCCACAGUGCACGGUGAAUUUAUUUUCUCACCGAUGUGCCGCUUCUGCACGACCACUGUGUGAAAGAUUUUACUCUUUGGCCAGUGUAGUUUAAGUGCUGGUUUGCCAUUAGAAUGCGCUGUCUUGUACAACUGUCAUGAUAUAUUAAGAAGUGCGCAGAAGAAUUGCGGUGUUCUGCACAUGGGAGCGACAACUAAGUGUGGAUGCACGCAUGGCACGUGCCGAUCUUCUGUGCUGCUUCGUGCUCAAGGGAACCACGCUAGGUGGGCAACCAGUCCUGGGAGCCAGAGGAGCUGGGCUGCUUUCUCAGACCACCUUGCAUAUAAGCGAGAGCCUGAUGGACCUGAACUUCUGCUGGGCAACCAGUCCAGGGAACCAGGUGAGGUGGCCACUGUACCGUGCCACCGCAACGACCAGCAUUGCUGCUAGAGGCAAAAGCCGUAGGGCACUUAUAGGAAUCCUACAAGAUUGAUGUCUGACAAAAAUGCCAUAGAGCAACAAAAGAGUGACAGCAGGAUAGGAUCGAUGUGCUAACAACCGCUGCUUCCCUGUUCCUUUGAAUAUCUGAUUUCAUACAGAAAGAAAGACAAGUUUACUUCCCCUCUGCUAUCGCUGAACCCAAAGGCUUCAAGGAGGCCAGAGGAGCCUAAACCGACAACUGGGCAGAUAUCUUCACAUUCUAUAAAACAUGUUCCAUCCUGUCCCUACGUUACCGUAGCAAGCACAUGCUUCUUCCUCGGUGUACCUCGCUAAUUUAUAAGUAUCUAUACGGGUUUUAAGGCAUCCUGAUCUCGCUUCGAAAAAUAAAGAGCUUCCCUUUGAGUUAUCAUAAAUUGUCUCUUCCCUGAUCUAUUUUUUUUUUCUAUUAGGUAGUUACUCACAGCAUGUUUCUUUUCCAUUGCCCCUACUCAUGGGAUUGUCUGAGCCUCUGUGACUUUGCGUUUGACGUUCUUUAUUUGUUGCCACGUUACUUACUAUACCGGUCGCAUACUCGCUUGCAAGCUUCCUAUUUCUUUUCCUCCACUGUGAGUAACUUUUUUUCCUAUACAAAUAUUUGAACACUGUCACAACCCAUUUACUUUCUUCCAUAUUCCUCAGUCUUUCUUUAAAAUGAAUUUUACUCUGACGUUCCCUCACUUCAAAACUUGUCCAUCCUAUAUCGCCCUGCAAUAAAAGUUUUGUUUGGGCCAGUUGGUUUAUAACUGAAAACCUUGAUGAGUAGCGCGAAAAACAUGGUCCAAGAAAGACACAAGCACACAGGACGGGCACAAUGAA
RNA transcript from Dermacentor albipictus, 4777 nucleotides. RefSeq lists it as uncharacterized. The record is from RefSeq and is a predicted model, not a curated record. Lineage: Eukaryota; Metazoa; Arthropoda; Arachnida; Ixodida; Ixodidae.